RNAcentral lists this ribosomal RNA (348 nucleotides) under uncultured bacterium. RNAcentral describes it as "partial 16S ribosomal RNA". It matches the Rfam family "Bacterial small subunit ribosomal RNA", at positions 338 to 703 of the family's 1533-position model. The record is from RNAcentral.
CCUACGGGAGGCAGCAGUGGGGGAUAGUGCACAAUGGGGGAAACCCUGAUGCAGCGACGCCGCGUGUGGGAAGACGGUCCUCUGGAUUGUAAACCACUGGCCCCAGGGACGAAGAUGACGGGACCUGGGGAGGAAGCGCCGGCUAACUACGUGCCAGCAGCCGCGGUAAGACGUAGGGAGCGAGCGGUGGCCGGAAUUACUGGGUGGAAAGGGAGCGGAGGCGGGGAUGCAAGUUGGGUGGCAAAACUACCGGCUCCACUGGUAGUCGCACUCAAAACUGCAGCUCUUGAGUGAAGUAGAGGCAGGCGGAAUUCCUAGUGUAGCGGUGAACUGCGUCGAUAUUAGGAG